Molecule: unclassified non-coding RNA, 329 nt
Filed under: soil metagenome
Description: partial contains 5.8S ribosomal RNA, internal transcribed spacer 2, and large subunit ribosomal RNA
Rfam family: 5.8S ribosomal RNA (bases 1-120)
Source: RNAcentral
GAUGAAGAACGUAGCGAAAUGCGAUAAGUAAUGUGAAUUGCAGAAUUCAGUGAAUCAUCGAAUCUUUGAACGCACAUUGCGCCCCUUGGUAUUCCGAGGGGCAUGCCUGUUCGAGCGUCAUUAUAACCCCUCAAGCUCAGCUUGGUGUUGGGGCCUGCUGCACUGGCAGCCCUUAAAAUCAGUGGCGGCGCCAUCUGGCUCUAAGCGUAGUAAUUCUUCUCGCUAUGGAGUCCUGGUGGAUGCUUGCCAUCAACCCCCAAUUUUUCUAUGGUUGACCUCGCAUCAGGUAGGGAUACCCGCUGAACUUAAGCAUAUCAAUAAGCGGAGGA